Long non-coding RNA from Amblyraja radiata (thorny skate), 135 nucleotides. RefSeq lists it as uncharacterized. NCBI's taxonomy places the organism in Eukaryota, Metazoa, Chordata, Chondrichthyes, Rajiformes, Rajidae. The transcript is spliced from 3 exons. The record is from RefSeq and is a predicted model, not a curated record.
GCAUCUCCGGAAGGGGUGCAUUGGCAAAUUUCCAGUCGCGAUCCGAAAAGUCAUCUCUCCAUGUCUUCCAGAGAUGCUACCUGACCCGCUUAGUUGCUCCAGACUUUGUGUCUGUCUUCAUCUGCAGUUCCUUCU